AGUGACUAAUAGCAAACGUGUGUCUGCUAAAACUAUAAAACGCUGCAUUUCGGGGCUUUGCGCGUUAAAUUCCGCGCUCCGCCGUCAUUUAUGGGGCCUAAAAGUUCCCAGGCAGCGUCCAGCCGUAGCUCCCCUCCCUCUCGCCGCUGUGAUGGUUUGAAUACAGGCUUCUUCUUCGGGGGGUUACAUAAACUAAUCGUGUCGCCCAGCACGGUGAGUGAGAGGCUCCUCGACUGCAGGCCGGAUUAACGCGGAUUAUCUCGCCUCAGUAUCUGCGUGACCACACGUGCGAAACAGACUUGAACGGUAAUGCAAAACUUGGAGACCAGGAACAUGCCUGAGCGUUAAAAGUGGACCCCGGCCGUGGACGCAUCACUCAGGCCACUGGCUCAGCAGAGCUGAGUCCACCGGAUCUGUGGAUGCAGGCGAGGUAAAGCGCAGACCGGACUGAAGGGCGUUCCGUUACCGCUGAUUCAGCACAAGACUUUUAUCAAGAACUCUACACACUUGACAUGUUGCAAAAAAGACAACGAAGAGAAGACUUUUAUCAAGAAAACUACAAAACUUGACAUGUUGCAAAAAAGACAAUGAAGAGAAGACUUUUAUCAAAAAACUCUACAAACUUGACAUGUUGCGAAAUGAGUUGUUGGACCAUAUGGUGCAAUAAGUUGUUGUCUGCCGAGAUCCCUUUUGAAGAUAUUUUUGAAGUUAUUUUGAUACGUAUUUCAAGUAAAAAUUUUUUUAUUUCUCUAUUCUUAAUAUUUUUGAAGGACUUUUAUCAAGAACUUUAAACUUUUUAUAAUUGAGUGAAAAAGAGAAGUAGAGAAAUAAAUUUUUGUUGGACUAUACUUUAGUGGUGUGCUAAGUUUUGGUACUUGUUUUUAUUUUUUUAUACUAAAUUUUUAAAGGACUUUUAUCAAAAAGUCUACAAUCUAAACAUGUUGCAGAAAAAAAUGAAAGAGAAGUAAGUUGAUGGAAUAUGUGUUGGCUAGACCACUUUUGAUUGUGAAAAUGACUUUUUAAGGACUUUUAUCAAGAACUCCACUUAUUUUACUUGAAUGACUGAAAAAGAAAAACAAAAGAAGUAAAUUGUUGUUGGAUUCUACUUCAGUGGUCUACCUAGCAAGAGGAAAUUCUCCUAAGAGAACACCAGUCAGCAAAAAGGAAUCUACUCUUUUUUUGUGUGCUGAUCAGAAGGAGUUUCUCAAAGAGGAGGAAAAAAAAAU
Molecule: long non-coding RNA, 1226 nt
Organism: Pygocentrus nattereri (red-bellied piranha)
Lineage: Eukaryota; Metazoa; Chordata; Actinopteri; Characiformes; Serrasalmidae
Source: Ensembl